GGCUGUUGGCCAGCAGGUGGUUGUGUGGAUGCUGUGCUCUUGGGCAGAGUGUCUCGGCCCCUGUGGCCUAGGGACCUAGGGAGGAGAAGGCUGAAGGAGCAUUCAGAGCAGCCAACACCAACAAAUGGAAGCAACAGCUCUCACUCGUGGCGCACAUAUUAGAAGGCACAGUGAUGAUAAUAGUGACUGCCAGGGACUGACGACCAGAGCUCUUACUUCCGUUUUUACCUGGCAUGCACCAGCACCCAUGUUCUGAAACAAACCAAGGCAGAGAGAGGAAGCCACAAAAAUGACAGAUAUUCAACACAAACCUUAGUCUGUUGGAAGGAUUGGCAAACUAAAGCCAUUGCGCUGGUCCUCUGUUUUUAUGGCACCAAAAGUGAAGGAAGCUCCUGUUCCCCCCAAAGCCAAAGCAAAAGGCUUUGAAGGCCAAGAAGGC
This 439-nucleotide long non-coding RNA is filed under the name Equus caballus (horse). RNAcentral's name for it is "lncRNA (ENSECAG00000051762.1)". Lineage: Eukaryota; Metazoa; Chordata; Mammalia; Perissodactyla; Equidae. The record is from RNAcentral.